Molecule: long non-coding RNA, 622 nt
Organism: Sinocyclocheilus anshuiensis
Lineage: Eukaryota; Metazoa; Chordata; Actinopteri; Cypriniformes; Cyprinidae
Exons: 2
Source: RefSeq, a predicted model, not a curated record
ACAGAAUAUAUGGUUUUCUCAGCUGUUUUUUAUUCAGUUCUGUUUAAAUCUGCCUGGGACAAGAGUCUGAAUUAUGGUGGAUUUGAGGGUGUCAUGAUUAUAGUCCUCUUUGUGAUGGUGAUUCUGUUCAACCUCUUCUUUAUUAUUUACUGUAAGUAUUUCCUUCCAUCAAGAGUCAGUGAGAUGAAUGUGCUGUGAAAUCAUGAUUUACCAGAUUAAUGCUGUUUGUUAAAGGCACAAUAUAUAAAAACCAUAAUAUCAGACCUGAGUUAUCAGUUAAUUGAAGCAUUUCCAUUAGACAGAGUUUAUAGAGCAAAUAUAAUACUCAGAGUGUUUUACAUAGACAUGAUAAAGAGGAAAAUAGCAAUGAAAGAAUAGAAGAAAAGAAAGUAAAGUAAAUCAAAGUGUACAUUUUAAAUUUAUGAAAUGAAUGAAAAAGAUGGUCACUGUCCAUUAAAGGAUGUAAAUUGAAAUGAUGCAGUGCAUCAGCAGGUAAAGUCUCUAGUUUAUUCAGUCUCAGGCCAUUGAGUGAUUUAAAAACAAGUAAGAAAAGACAGAUUCUCCUUGUGCCCCCUAUUAUCUGCAGAAUACUCAAUUUUUCAUGACAGGAAACCAUAUUUAA